Molecule: ribosomal RNA, 1003 nt
Filed under: uncultured bacterium
Lineage: Bacteria
Description: bacterial SSU rRNA
Rfam family: Bacterial small subunit ribosomal RNA
Source: RNAcentral
GAGUUUGAUCAUGGCUCAGGAUGAACGCUGGCGGUGUGCCUUAGGCAUGCAAGUCGAACGGGAUUGUACCUUCGGGUACAUGAUAGUGGCAGACGGGUGAGUAACACGUGAGCAUUUACCCCAUAGUGGGGAAUAGCCUACCGAAAGGUAGGGUAAUACCGCAUAGUCCAGUAAUGGUAAAGACUUCGGUCGCUAUGAGAGAAGCUCGCGUCCUAUCAGGUAGUUGGUGAGGUAAAGGCUCACCAAGCCUAUGACGGGUAGCCGAUGUGAGAGCAUGAUCGGCCACAAGGUCACUGAGACACGGGGCCUACACCUACGGGUGGCAGCAACCGGGAAUAUUGCGCAAUGGACGAAAGUCUGACGCAGCGACACCGCGUGUGGGAUGACACUUUUCGGAGCGUAAACCACUGUGGCGAGGGAGGAAUUUUUGACAGUACCUCGCUAGAAAGCACCUGCUAACUACGUGCCAGAAGCCUCGGUAAUACGUAGGGUGCAAGCGUUAUCCGGAUUUAUUGGGCGUAAAGGGUCCGUAGGCGUCUUGGUAAGUUACUUGUUUAAGCCUCUGGCUCAACUAGAGACAAGCAAGUAAAACUACCAAGAUUGAGUCUGUUAGAGGAAGCUAGAAUUCUUGGUGGAGGGGUGAAAUCCGUAGAUAUCAAGAGGAAUACCAGCCGCGAAGGCGGGCUUCUAGAACACGACUGACGCUAAGGGACGAAAGCUUGGGUAGCAAAACGGAUUAGAGACCCGUGUAGUCCAAGCCGUAAACGCUCCUUGCUAGCUGUGUUGGUCUUUGACCAGCGUGGCGUAAGUUAACACGUUAAGCAAAGGCGCCUGGGAAGUACGAUCGCAAGAUUAAAACUCAAAGGAAUUGACGGGGAAGCGCACAACCGGGUGGAGCAUGUGGUUUAAUUCGAAACAAGCGAAAANCUUACCUGGGUUUGACAUGUACCUGCACGUUCUGGGAAACCAGAAUUUCUUCGAGAGUGGUACAACAGGUGAUGCA